AUUGAACGCUGGCGGCAGGCCUAACACAUGCAAGUCGAGCGGAUGAAGGGAGCUUGCUCCUGGAUUCAGCGGCGGACGGGUGAGUAAAGCCUAGGAAUCUGCCUGGUAGUGGGGGAUAACGUCCGGAAACGGGCGCUAAUACCGCAUACGUCCUGAGGGAGAAAGUGGGGGAUCUUCGGACCUCACGCUAUCAGAUGAGCCUAGGUCGGAUUAGCUAGUUGGUGGGGUAAAGGCCUACCAAGGCGACGAUCCGUAACUGGUCUGAGAGGAUGAUCAGUCACACUGGAACUGAGACACGGUCCAGACUCCUACGGGAGGCAGCAGUGGGGAAUAUUGGACAAUGGGCGAAAGCCUGAUCCAGCCAUGCCGCGUGUGUGAAGAAGGUCUUCGGAUUGUAAAGCACUUUAAGUUGGGAGGAAGGGCAGUAAGUUAAUACCUUGCUGUUUUGACGUUACCAACAGAAUAAGCACCGGCUAACUUCGUG
Molecule: ribosomal RNA, 484 nt
Filed under: uncultured bacterium
Lineage: Bacteria
Description: partial 16S ribosomal RNA
Rfam family: Bacterial small subunit ribosomal RNA
Source: RNAcentral